Molecule: transfer RNA, 75 nt
Filed under: Nephila pilipes (giant wood spider)
Lineage: Eukaryota; Metazoa; Arthropoda; Arachnida; Araneae; Nephilidae
Description: tRNA-Ile
Rfam family: tRNA
About the family: Transfer RNA (tRNA) molecules are approximately 80 nucleotides in length. Their secondary structure includes four short double-helical elements and three loops (D, anti-codon, and T loops).
Source: RNAcentral
UUCCCAGUGGCGCAAUUGGUUAGCGCGCGGUACUUAUAAUGCCGAGGUUGUGAGUUUCGAGCCUUACGUGGAAAA